GGGUUGUGAGGUUAAGCGACUAAGCGUACACGGUGGAUGCCCUGGCAGUCAGAGGCGAUGAAGGACGUGCUAAUCUGCGAUAAGCGUCGGUGAGGUGAUAUGAACCGUUAUAACCGGCGAUUUCCGAAUGGGGAAACCCAGUGUGUUUCGACACACUAUCAUUAACUGAAUCCAUAGGUUAAUGAGGCGAACCGGGGGAACUGAAACAUCUAAGUACCCCGAGGAAAAGAAAUCAACCGAGAUUCCCCCAGUAGCGGCGAGCGAACGGGGAGGAGCCCAGAGCCUGAAUCAGUGUGUGUGUUAGUGGAAGCGUCUGGAAAGGCGUGCGAUACAGGGUGACAGCCCCGUACACAAAAAUGCACAUAUUGUGAGCUCGAUGAGUAGGGCGGGACACGUGGUAUCCUGUCUGAAUAUGGGGGGACCAUCCUCCAAGGCUAAAUACUCCUGACUGACCGAUAGUGAACCAGUACCGUGAGGGAAAGGCGAAAAGAACCCCGGCGAGGGGAGUGAAAAAGAACCUGAAACCGUGUACGUACAAGCAGUGGGAGCCUCUUAAUGGGGUGACUGCGUACCUUUUGUAUAAUGGGUCAGCGACUUAUAUUCUGUAGCAAGGUUAACCGAAUAGGGGAGCCGAAGGGAAACCGAGUCUUAACUGGGCGUUAAGUUGCAGGGUAUAGACCCGAAACCCGGUGAUCUAGCCAUGGGCAGGUUGAAGGUUGGGUAACACUAACUGGAGGACCGAACCGACUAAUGUUGAAAAAUUAGCGGAUGACUUGUGGCUGGGGGUGAAAGGCCAAUCAAACCGGGAGAUAGCUGGUUCUCCCCGAAAGCUAUUUAGGUAGCGCCUCGUGAAUUCAUCUCCGGGGGUAGAGCACUGUUUCGGCAAGGGGGUCAUCCCGACUUACCAACCCGAUGCAAACUGCGAAUACCGGAGAAUGUUAUCACGGGAGACACACGGCGGGUGCUAACGUCCGUCGUGAAGAGGGAAACAACCCAGACCGCCAGCUAAGGUCCCAAAGUCAUGGUUAAGUGGGAAACGAUGUGGGAAGGCCCAGACAGCCAGGAUGUUGGCUUAGAAGCAGCCAUCAUUUAAAGAAAGCGUAAUAGCUCACUGGUCGAGUCGGCCUGCGCGGAAGAUGUAACGGGGCUAAACCAUGCACCGAAGCUGCGGCAGCGACACUAUGUGUUGUUGGGUAGGGGAGCGUUCUGUAAGCCUGUGAAGGUGGCCUGUGAGGGUUGCUGGAGGUAUCAGAAGUGCGAAUGCUGACAUAAGUAAACGAUAAAGCGGGUGAAAAGCCCGCUCGCCGGAAGACCAAGGGUUCCUGUCCAACGUUAAUCGGGGCAGGGUGAGUCGACCCCUAAGGCGAGGCCGAAAGGCGUAGUCGAUGGGAAACAGGUUAAUAUUCCUGUACUUGGUGUUACUGCGAAGGGGGGACGGAGAAGGCUAUGUUGGCCGGGCGACGGUUGUCCCGGUUUAAGCGUGUAGGCUGGUUUUCCAGGCAAAUCCGGAAAACCAAGGCUGAGGCGUGAUGACGAGGCACUACGGUGCUGAAGCGACAAAUGCCCUGCUUCCAGGAAAAGCCUCUAAGCAUCAGGUAACAUCAAAUCGUACCCCAAACCGACACAGGUGGUCAGGUAGAGAAUACCAAGGCGCUUGAGAGAACUCGGGUGAAGGAACUAGGCAAAAUGGUGCCGUAACUUCGGGAGAAGGCACGCUGAUAUGUAGGUGAAGCGACUUGCUCGUGGAGCUGAAAUCAGUCGAAGAUACCAGCUGGCUGCAACUGUUUAUUAAAAACACAGCACUGUGCAAACACGAAAGUGGACGUAUACGGUGUGACGCCUGCCCGGUGCCGGAAGGUUAAUUGAUGGGGUUAGCGGCAACGCGAAGCUCUUGAUCGAAGCCCCGGUAAACGGCGGCCGUAACUAUAACGGUCCUAAGGUAGCGAAAUUCCUUGUCGGGUAAGUUCCGACCUGCACGAAUGGCGUAAUGAUGGCCAGGCUGUCUCCACCCGAGACUCAGUGAAAUUGAACUCGCUGUGAAGAUGCAGUGUACCCGCGGCAAGACGGAAAGACCCCGUGAACCUUUACUAUAGCUUGACACUGAACAUUGAGCCUUGAUGUGUAGGAUAGGUGGGAGGCUUUGAAGUGUGGACGCCAGUCUGCAUGGAGCCGACCUUGAAAUACCACCCUUUAAUGUUUGAUGUUCUAACGUUGGCCCGUAAUCCGGGUUGCGGACAGUGUCUGGUGGGUAGUUUGACUGGGGCGGUCUCCUCCUAAAGAGUAACGGAGGAGCACGAAGGUUGGCUAAUCCUGGUCGGACAUCAGGAGGUUAGUGCAAUGGCAUAAGCCAGCUUGACUGCGAGCGUGACGGCGCGAGCAGGUGCGAAAGCAGGUCAUAGUGAUCCGGUGGUUCUGAAUGGAAGGGCCAUCGCUCAACGGAUAAAAGGUACUCCGGGGAUAACAGGCUGAUACCGCCCAAGAGUUCAUAUCGACGGCGGUGUUUGGCACCUCGAUGUCGGCUCAUCACAUCCUGGGGCUGAAGUAGGUCCCAAGGGUAUGGCUGUUCGCCAUUUAAAGUGGUACGCGAGCUGGGUUUAGAACGUCGUGAGACAGUUCGGUCCCUAUCUGCCGUGGGCGCUGGAGAACUGAGGGGGGCUGCUCCUAGUACGAGAGGACCGGAGUGGACGCAUCACUGGUGUUCGGGUUGUCAUGCCAAUGGCACUGCCCGGUAGCUAAAUGCGGAAGAGAUAAGUGCUGAAAGCAUCUAAGCACGAAACUUGCCCCGAGAUGAGUUCUCCCUGACUCCUUGAGAGUCCUGAAGGAACGUUGAAGACGACGACGUUGAUAGGCCGGGUGUGUAAGCGCAGCGAUGCGUUGAGCUAACCGGUACUAAUGAACCGUGAGGCUUAACCUUACAACGCCGAAG
Molecule: ribosomal RNA, 2926 nt
Filed under: Escherichia coli
Lineage: Bacteria; Pseudomonadati; Pseudomonadota; Gammaproteobacteria; Enterobacterales; Enterobacteriaceae
Description: bacterial LSU rRNA
Rfam family: Bacterial large subunit ribosomal RNA
Source: RNAcentral